GUUGAGACUGGAUAAUGUCAUUUCAGCAAAGAAGAGAAAGUUUGGCCACCCGAAGAGAAAAAAAGAAGGCGUGCACAGCUCAAGCGCAUCAAUUAACUGAAGGCAUCCACAUUCAGCUACAAGAUAAUUCUGGCUGGUCCCUUAGGAGGUACUGAUUGUGGUUACUAGAUGAAGGGAAUUUUUAAAGCUAAUAGUAUUUCAUUUUUUUAUCUGCUCUCUUAAGUUUUUGAC
RNAcentral lists this long non-coding RNA (231 nucleotides) under Struthio camelus australis. Its description in RNAcentral is "lncRNA (ENSSCUG00000014660.1)". The record is from RNAcentral. Lineage: Eukaryota; Metazoa; Chordata; Aves; Struthioniformes; Struthionidae.